This 75-nucleotide transfer RNA is filed under the name Bacteroidota bacterium. RNAcentral describes it as "Bacteroidetes bacterium (marine metagenome) tRNA-Pro". It matches the Rfam family "tRNA". From Rfam's summary of the family: Transfer RNA (tRNA) molecules are approximately 80 nucleotides in length. Their secondary structure includes four short double-helical elements and three loops (D, anti-codon, and T loops). Further hydrogen bonds mediate the characteristic L-shaped molecular structure. tRNAs have two regions of fundamental functional importance: the anti-codon, which is responsible for specific mRNA codon recognition, and the 3' end, to which the tRNAs corresponding amino acid is attached (by aminoacyl-tRNA synthetases). tRNAs cope with the degeneracy of the genetic code in two manners: having more than one tRNA (with a specific anti-codon) for a particular amino acid; and 'wobble' base-pairing, i.e. permitting non-standard base-pairing at the 3rd anti-codon position. The record is from RNAcentral. Lineage: Bacteria; Pseudomonadati; Bacteroidota.
CGGGAUGUAGCUCAGCCAGGUUAGAGUACCCGUCUGGGGGGCGGGGGGCCGGAAGUUCAAAUCUUCUCAUCCCGA